This 460-nucleotide ribosomal RNA is filed under the name uncultured bacterium. Its description in RNAcentral is "partial 16S ribosomal RNA". It matches the Rfam family "Bacterial small subunit ribosomal RNA", at positions 338 to 795 of the family's 1533-position model. The record is from RNAcentral.
CCUACGGGAGGCUGCAGUGAGGAAUAUUGGUCAAUGGACGAGAGUCUGAACCAGCCAAGUAGCGUGAAGGAUGACUGCCCUAUGGGUUGUAAACUUCUUUUAUAUGGGAAUAAAACGUUCCACGUGUGGGAUUUUGUAUGUACCAUAUGAAUAAGGAUCGGCUAACUCCGUGCCAGCAGCCGCGGUAAUACGGAGGAUCAGAGCGUUAUCCGGAUUUAUUGGGUUUAAAGGGAGCGUAGGUGGAUUGUUAAGUCAGUUGUGAAAGUUUGCGGCUAAACCGUAAAAUUGCAGUUGAUACUGGCAGUCUUGAGUACAGUAGAGGUGGGCGGAAUUCGUGGUGUAGCGGUGAAAUGCUGAGAUAUCACGAAGAACUCCGAUUGCGAAGGCAGUUCACUGGACUGCAACUGACACUGAGGCUCGAAAGUGUGGGUAUCAAACAGGAUUAGAUACCCGGGUAGUC